RNAcentral lists this ribosomal RNA (185 nucleotides) under uncultured bacterium. RNAcentral's name for it is "partial 16S ribosomal RNA". It matches the Rfam family "Bacterial small subunit ribosomal RNA", at positions 355 to 529 of the family's 1533-position model. The record is from RNAcentral.
UAGGGAAUUUUCGUCAAUGGGCGCAAGCCUGAACGAGCAAUGCCGCGUGAACGAGGAAGGUCUUCGGAUCGUAAAGUUCUGUUGAAGGGGAAAAAGAGCGGAGAGAGGAAAUGCUUUCUGAUUGAUAUUACCCUUCGAGGAAGUCACGGCUAACUACGUGCCAGCAACCGCGGUAAUCAUACUCU